CGGCCACCGCCCACGGGAGUCCGGGACGGGAAGGGGGGGAGCUUUCCGCCGGCGGGGACGGCGCAGGGUAGCAAACCUCAGCCAAAAAACUAAACCUUUUUUUUCUUUAUUUUUUGUUCUUGUUUUCAGCUCGGUGUUUUCUCCUUUUUUUUUUUUUUUUUUUUUUUUUUGGGGGGGGGGGAGCGAGGGCUCCCGCCCCUCCCGCCCCGGGAGGCAGAGCCGCCGUGCCCCGGGCGGGCGGAGGCCGGGACCGGGCUUGCCCGAGCCUGCCGGGCUCUCCCGGCUCCGGCCUCGAGGCUCCGUGGAGCCGCCGCUUUUAAGACGCUCGGGGAAACCUUUCCCGGGAUUCCUGCUCCGUUGGAGAAACCUGCUGCGUUUAGACGGGGGAUAAACCAAACCAAACCCUGGGCUUGCCAGCAGCAAGGAGGCCGGCGGGGUGUCACUGCGGGGUUAGAGAGGAGCUGGAGGGAAGGAGGAAGGCUGGAAGCGUGCGUGACUGUGACACCGGUUGUGUGAUCGCCCUAAAAACACCCGUGAUGGACACGCGGGGCGAUGCGUGCGCCCAGCAGAUACAGCCGUCGGAGCGGGCGAGCCAGGUCUCCGUCCCACUUGGCUGUCCUUGCGCCAGAACACGAGGCUUGCCUGUCCUCCGUGGGCUCUCCGUGGGGACUGCGGCUACUCUUUUCCUGCUCUGCCAUGGUUUAAAAAAAAAAAAAAAAAAAAAGAAAAAAGAAGAAAAAAAAGAAAAUAACAAAAAUUACCUGGUCCGAAGACGGACAGUGUUCGGUGUCGCUCAAAAGACGGCUCGUCUUUUGCGCACAAAACCCGUGGCAAAAGCGAAUUCUUUUAAAACGCCCUUUGAUGGUGUAAAAGUUGACCGGUGGUGGGAAGUAGUAAAUAGCGGUAACAAAGAAUAGACUCAUACUGUGAAACUAUGAACGGCGAAUAAACCCUUCCUGGAAAGAACCGAGCUGCACAGAGAGUAGGUGGGCAAUUCGCUGGCUGCUUCCCUGAAAAUUUAGAAGAAAAUGGGAGUGUGACGCGCUGGCACUAUUUAAAAAAACAAACAAACAAACAAAACACGCCUCUGAGAUAGAAGAUUAAAAAAAAAAAAAAAAAGUAGCGUUGUGCUGGACGUGGGCGAGGGAAGAUAAAAGCGAGAGGUGGAAGGCAUGAGUACCAAAAAGCGGGCACGCCUGUCCCCAGCCCUGCCCGAUCCUCGGACGGCAAAAGCCUUCCCAAAUGUUGCAACAGCGCUUUGGAAGCCUCUAAAGAAAAGCUGAAUUGUUCGAACUUAGGUAACUUAAGGAAACUCGUUAUGACCUACAUUGGUGCUCUGAGUCAGCAGCAGCCGCAGCCCCGGCGGGUCCGGCCGAGCUCCCGCCGCCGCCGCGCACCCCGCACCGCGCACCCCGCACCCCGCGGGCGGGGCCGCCCCGCGCACCCCCGCGCACCCCCCGGCUUUCCAAAGAAACUCGCCUGGAUCGAGACGGUUUCACUUCUGCCGUCAGGAAUGCCUCCGCGGGUUUUGUUUUUUGUUUGUUUGUUUUCUGUUUGUUCGGUUUUCUUUUUUUUUUUCUUUUUUUUUUUUUUCAAGUUUUUUUUGUUGUUGGGUGUUUUUUGGUGGGUUGGGGUUUUUUUUUUUGUUUUCAGGUUUGCGGACAGAGCAGCGUGCCUGCUCCUGUGGUGGUUUCCCAGCUGGUUUGUGAGGGGGAAAGAUAAGCAGAUGACAAGGGUAGUUUGUUGUUGUUGUUUUUUGUCGUUUUUUUGUUUGUUUUGUUUUUUCCUCCAAGUUUUUAAAAGCUGUACUUUAUUUUCUGAAAGGAUACCGAUUGUUUGCUGCACCGGGCUCUAGACGCCUAGUAGGGAAAAGUUACUACGUGUUGCACACUGCUUUGCUCUUAAGAUAGGCAAGGAAGCUCUGAAGUUCCUAUCAAAACCUCACCAAAGAGCUCUCCGUAUUCCUCCCGUAAUGUAAUAAAAAAGCAGCAACGAUUAAGCUCCAAAUGUCCACGUUCUCAAAACUCGUAGUUUAAUCCGGUUUGCAGCGAGCUCGGACACUUACACCGACCUUUUAUUAAACGCAUCAGGGGAAGAACCAAACAUGUUUUAACAUCUUGAUUCAAGUAAUGAGUGAGCGACGUUACCGCAUCACCCCAGCCGGGCGAGUGGGCAGAAUCAGGCAGUCAGCUUUUUCUUUUAUAUUCCAAAUGACGAAAGAGUCGAGAUGAAAUGACCUCAAAAAAAAAAACCCCACCCCAAAACUCCGCCUUUUGGAAAGAAGCGCUGGCUGCCUCUGCCUCGCCCCCAGCCCGCUCCCCAUCAAUUCUCACUUCUCAUUUAGCGACACGCCGUUGACAUCAGCCGGCGAAGUGAAACGACAAAAGUCAGCUCAAAACGCCUGGAUUUUCCUCCCAGGCGUUUCCAGGGCUUGCGCACCGCUCCGAGCGCCGCUCCGGGCGUUACUGGCGUCAUUACUGAGCUAUAUUUUUGCAAACUUUGAGGUUUUUAUUGGCCAAAUGCAGCACCUCGACGCGUUUCAACAUGGGACGGAGAAAUCAAAUCAAUUUUCCUUCCCUUUAUUUAAAAAAAAAAAAAAAAAAAAAAAGGCAAGCCACAUCCACAGCAGUGGUGGGGAGCUGAUGCGAUGCUCUUCACUAACAACUUUUAGCAGCUGUGCGUUUCCUGCAAGGGUGAUAUUUCAGUCUCCCCUCUUAAGAAACCAGCGAAAUUUGGAGAUAGCGAUCGAAAGCAGCUCCCCGUGCCCCAAAGCAGCGGGGGGUGGGGGUGGGGGGGCGGGAAGACGCCGGCUCUGAUUUUGGGGGUCGGGUUGUUUCUCGGUGAGGGAAACGGCACCUCUCCCAGCCCCGCUGGCCGUGGGUUUGCAGCCGGACACGGGGGGACGGACGGUUUGCAGGGGGGACGGAGAUCGCCCCGCCGUGGGGAUGAGCCACGGUCACGCAGCCCCCCUCGGGCUCGGCGCUGGGCGGGUGCUGCCAACCGGCGCCAAAUAAAGUCAACGCCUUCGCCUGC
Molecule: non-coding RNA, 3033 nt
Organism: Phalacrocorax carbo (great cormorant)
Lineage: Eukaryota; Metazoa; Chordata; Aves; Suliformes; Phalacrocoracidae
Source: RefSeq, a predicted model, not a curated record